RNAcentral lists this transfer RNA (67 nucleotides) under Glassella costaricana. RNAcentral's name for it is "tRNA-Leu". Lineage: Eukaryota; Metazoa; Arthropoda; Malacostraca; Decapoda; Pinnotheridae. The record is from RNAcentral.
GCUACUUUGGCAGAAGUGUAUGUGUUGGAUUUAGGAUCCUAUAAAAUAGAAUUAGUCUAUAGGUAGC